Molecule: ribosomal RNA, 492 nt
Filed under: uncultured bacterium
Lineage: Bacteria
Description: partial 16S ribosomal RNA
Rfam family: Bacterial small subunit ribosomal RNA
Source: RNAcentral
AGUGAACGCUGGCGGUAGGCCUAACACAUGCAAGUCGAACGGCAGCACAGUAAGAGCUUGCUCUUACGGGUGGCGAGUGGCGGACGGGUGAGGAAUACAUCGGAAUCUACUUUUUCGUGGGGGAUAACGUAGGGAAACUUACGCUAAUACCGCAUACGACCUACUGGUGAAAGCAUGGGAUCUUCGGACCUUUCGCGAUUGAAUGAGCCGAUGUCGGAUUAGCUAGUUGGCGGGGUAAAGGCCCACCAAGGCGACGAUCCGUAGCUGGUCUGAGAGGAUGAUCAGCGACACUGGAACUGAGACACGGUCCAGACUCCUACGGGAGGCAGCAGUGGGGAAUAUUGGACAAUGGGCGCAAGCCUGAUCCAGCCAUACCGCGUGGGUGAAGAAGGCCUUCGGGUUGUAAAGCCCUUUUGUUGGGAAAGAAAAGCAGCAGGUUAAUACCCCGCUGUUCUGACGGUACCCAAAGAAUAAGCACCGGCUAACUUCGUG